Molecule: ribosomal RNA, 290 nt
Filed under: Salmonella enterica
Lineage: Bacteria; Pseudomonadati; Pseudomonadota; Gammaproteobacteria; Enterobacterales; Enterobacteriaceae
Description: partial 23S ribosomal RNA
Rfam family: Bacterial large subunit ribosomal RNA
Source: RNAcentral
UCUGCCGUGGGCGCUGGAGAAUUGAGGGGGGCUGCUCCUAGUACGAGAGGACCGGAGUGGACGCAUCACUGGUGUUCGGGUUGUCAUGCCAAUGGCAUUGCCCGGUAGCUAAAUGCGGAAAAGAUAAGUGCUGAAAGCAUCUAAGCACGAAACUUGCCCCAAGAUGAGUUCUCCCUGAGACUUAGAGUCUCCUGAAGGAACGUUGAAGACGACGACGUUGAUAGGCCGGGUGUGUAAGCGCAGCGAUGCGUUGAGCUAACCGGUACUAAUGAACCGUGAGGCUUAACCUU